CUCACAUCACUUCAGCUUCAACAUCAACCAUGUUCUCUGUGGUUCUGAUACAGCUGCUGGCAGCUGGAUCCUGUGUGUACAGUAUUGAUCUCAUCCAGCCAGACUCAGUGGUUGUGCAGCCUGGACAGUCUUUGACCAUCACCUGUCAGGUCUCUGGUUAUUCUCUGACUGAUGACAGCUACGCAACAGGUUGGAUCAGACAGCGUGAAGGAAAACCAAUGGACUGGAUUUUGCAUCGUUGGGGUGGAGGCAGCGCCUAUCAAAAUGAUGCUCUGAAGAACAAGUUCCUUCACUACACACUCACUUCUACAAGUUCUGUGAAACUUACAGGACAGAAUGUGCAGCCUGACGACACAGCUGUGUAUUACUGUGUACGUGCACAGUGGUAUAGUUGGCUCCACAGUGAUACAAACAACCAACAAACCUGCACAAAUACCCAGAGACUCCUGUGGCUGAACCACGCACAAACAUGUUCCAAAUACUAUAAUUUAUAA
Seriola aureovittata is the source of this 494-nucleotide non-coding RNA. Lineage: Eukaryota; Metazoa; Chordata; Actinopteri; Carangiformes; Carangidae. The record is from the annotation of a RefSeq genome assembly.